Molecule: long non-coding RNA, 1542 nt
Organism: Podarcis raffonei (Aeolian wall lizard)
Lineage: Eukaryota; Metazoa; Chordata; Lepidosauria; Squamata; Lacertidae
Exons: 2
Source: RefSeq, a predicted model, not a curated record
AACACAGAUGACUUAAAACAGGUAAGGAAUAAAAACUAGCAAUUAAAAGGAGAUUAUAUAAUACAUACUUAAAAAGAUAGAAACAGGGACAAACAGUUAAAAACAACUAUAAGGGAGGGAGUGUGAAGGAGCACAGGUCAUGCAUUUUGGGCCUAGUUUGUGGCGCAAACCAUCCUUCGACAAAUAUCCAUCAUGGCAGCGAAGAAUUUAGCUAGCAACUGAGUAUGUAGCAUUUGGGUUUUCAUCCUGAAGAAGCAGGGAAGUAUAAAGUUCGGUGCGACCUGGGAAUUUAUGUAGUACAGUGGUACCUCUGGUUAAGAACGUAAUUCGUUCUGGAGGUCCGUUCUUAACCUGAAACUGUUUUAAUCUGAGGUACCACUUUAGCUAAUGGGGCCUCCUGCUGCCGCCAUGCGAUUUCUGUUCUCAUCCUGAGGUAAAAUUCUUAACCCGAGGUACUACUUCUGGGUUAGCAGAGUCUGUAACCUGAAGCGUCUGUAACCCGAGGUACCACUGUAUAGGCAAGAUGAACCUAGCUCGUAUAUCUAUACUGGCAUUGAAAAAAGACAUGUUCUGUUUCUAGUUGCCCAGAGCCACAUGGGCCUUUCCUUUCCUCAUACGGUGUCUCCCUAAAGCAGCCUUCCUGAAUGGCUGAAGGAAGGGCCUGGCAGCAGGCCAGAGUGAAAGCCCUUCGCUGUUUUGGAAUUUCAAGGGACUCAAGAGUCUCUAGUCCUAGACACACUCACCUGGGAGAAAGUUUCAUUGAACACAGUGUGACCUAUUCUGGAAUUAAACCUGCAUAAAUUGUGCUGUAAAUUAGUCUGGCUCGUUCCCCUCUGUUAAUCUAUAUAUACAGACCUCAGUAAUUGUAAGAGAGUCAGCAAUUAAAACAGGGGUUAAGAAUAAACAGUGUUCUGCAGCAGUACUUUGAUGCACAGUCUCUUCUUGAGUUUAAUGUAUUAGUUUCUAGUAAGCAAAGGGGAAAGCUGCAACAAUUGAAUAAAAAAAAUGUAAAAAAGCUACAGAGUGAGCUGUAAAUAUUAACCUUUUUAGCAGAGUUAAAUUACUAUUUAUUUGCAUAGCCUAUUUAUUGCAUUCUUCUAAACACUGUUAGAUACUGGGGCACUGUCAACAAAUAGAGGAGAGACUACUUGCAUUGUCCAUUCUACCAUCUCUAGAGUGCCCUCAUGGUGUCAACUUGCAUUAACAGUAAUAGACUAGAUUGCCCAAGCCAAGGUUAUUUGCCUAACUUCUCAGGGACCACACCUUGUACUUAUCCAACAUUAUUAGAACUGGUAUGUAUGAAAUGCUCUGAUUUACCAGGAUCACGGUUGCCAAUGUAUUCCUUUACAUAUUUCAUGCUUGUUGGCCUCUGUAUAUAUCAUUGUGUUGUGUAUUUAUGAGAGCUAAGAAGCAAUUGCUAAUAAGCAAUAAUUUAUAUGUCGAAAUGGCCAAGCAAUACGAAGGUAAAACUUGUAAAAGCAAAUGUUAAUGUUUAAACUUUUUUAAUAUUGCUUUUCAAAAUAUAAAACCAUAUUAAUUAAA